AGGCCGGUAGUUCAAUGGCUAGAAUGGGGGUCUCCAAAACCCUUGAUGAGAGUUCGAUCCUCUCCCGGCCUG
Molecule: transfer RNA, 72 nt
Filed under: Spirochaetaceae bacterium
Lineage: Bacteria; Pseudomonadati; Spirochaetota; Spirochaetia; Spirochaetales; Spirochaetaceae
Also listed under: 1 other name
Description: tRNA-Trp
Rfam family: tRNA
About the family: Transfer RNA (tRNA) molecules are approximately 80 nucleotides in length.
Source: RNAcentral